Molecule: ribosomal RNA, 400 nt
Filed under: phytoplankton environmental sample
Lineage: Eukaryota
Description: partial small subunit ribosomal RNA
Rfam family: Eukaryotic small subunit ribosomal RNA
Source: RNAcentral
AGCUCCGCCAGUGUAUAUCUAUGCUGCUGCGGUUAAAAAGCUCGUAGUUGGAUCUUCGUGAUGUUCCCGGUCCACCUGUAUAGGUGUGCACUGACGAACAUCACUGAAUCGCUAGUUUUCCACUGAUGCCCUUAAUCGGGUGUCUUUGGUGACUAGCAUGUUUACUUUGAAAAAAUUAGAGUGCUUAAAACAAGCGACUUGCUUGAAUAUUCGUGCAUGGAAUAAUAGAAUAGGCUUUUGGCUCUAUUUUGUUGGUUUUCGGAGCACAAGAGAAUGAUUAAGAGGGACAGACGGGGGCAUUCGUACUCCGACGUUAGAGGUGAAAUUCUUGGAUCGUCGGAUGACGCACUACUGCGAAAGCAUUUGCCAAGAAUGUUUUCAUUAAUCAAGAACGAAAGUA